This 362-nucleotide ribosomal RNA is filed under the name uncultured bacterium. RNAcentral describes it as "bacterial SSU rRNA". It matches the Rfam family "Bacterial small subunit ribosomal RNA", at positions 29 to 416 of the family's 1533-position model. The record is from RNAcentral.
AGCGAACGCUGGCGGCAGGCCUAACACAUGCAAGUCGAGCGCCCGUAGCGAUACGGGAGCGGCAGACGGGAGAGUAACACGUGGGAACGUACCCUUUGGUUCGGAACAACACAGGGAAACUUGUGCUAAUACCGGAUACGUCCGUAAGGAGAAAGAUUUAUCGCCGAAGGAUUGGCCCGCGUCCGAUUAGCUAGUUGGUGGGGUAAAGCCCACCAAGGCGACGAUCGGUAGCUGGUCUGAGAGGAUGAUCAGCCACACUGGGACUGAGACACGGCCCAGACUCCUACGGGAGGCAGCAGUGGGGAAUUUUGGACAAGUGGGGGGAACCCUGAUCCAGCCAUGCCGCGUGCGGGAAGAGGGCC